Molecule: ribosomal RNA, 434 nt
Filed under: uncultured bacterium
Lineage: Bacteria
Description: bacterial SSU rRNA
Rfam family: Bacterial small subunit ribosomal RNA
Source: RNAcentral
AACGCGAAGAACCUUACCUGGUCUUGACAUCCACGGAAGUUUUCAGAGAUGAGAAUGUACCUUCGGGAACCGUGAGACAGGUGCUGCAUGGCUGUCGUCAGCUCGUGUUGUGAAAUGUUGGGUUAAGUCCCGCAACGAGCGCAACCCUUAUCCUUUGUUGCCAGCGGUCCGGCCGGGAACUCAAAGGAGACUGCCAGUGAUAAACUGGAGGAAGGUGGGGAUGACGUCAAGUCAUCAUGGCCCUUACGACCAGGGCUACACACGUGCUACAAUGGCGCAUACAAAGAGAAGCGACCUCGCGAGAGCAAGCGGACCUCAUAAUGUGCGUCGUAGUCCGGAUUGGAGUCUGCAACUCGACUCCAUGAAGUCGGAAUCGCUAGUAAUCGUGGAUCAGAAUGCCACGGUGAAUACGUUCCCGGGCCUUGUACACACCG